CUGGACUGGAAGUAGUUUUCUCCCUAUGAAUUUUCAAUAUGAUGAUACAAUGCAGAAAAGAGAAUCAACAAAUGAAGCACCAUAUGGAUAACCUGGUGCUUUAUGAGAAACAUUAAAAAGGUGACUGUUGCAGAUUACUAAUCUGACAAGCUUGGCAAGAUAGCAAAACAUUCAUUUGGAUUUUCUUCUGUUUGAUUUGAACAGUAGAUGAUGAGAGGAAGAGUAACUGCCUAUUUAUUAAAUUUCAAAUUGUUGUCCCCUUUUAUUGAGAGAUCAUUCAAAUAGUUUUAUUUGAACCGUC
This is a long non-coding RNA of Prunus persica (peach), 301 nucleotides long. RefSeq lists it as uncharacterized. Lineage: Eukaryota; Viridiplantae; Streptophyta; Magnoliopsida; Rosales; Rosaceae. The record is from RefSeq and is a predicted model, not a curated record. The transcript has 2 exons.